AAAGAGCUCGUAGGUGGUCUUCUACGUCUGCUGUGAAAAUCCAGGGCUUAACCCUGGACUUGCAGUGGAUACGGGUUGACUAGAGGUAGGUAGGGGAGAAUGGAAUUCCCGGUGUAGCGGUGAAAUGCGCAGAUAUCGGGAGGAACACCGGUGGCGAAGGCGGUUCUCUGGGCCUUACCUGACACUGAGGAGCGAAAGCGUGGGGAGCGAACAGGAUUAGAUACCCUGGU
Molecule: ribosomal RNA, 230 nt
Filed under: uncultured bacterium
Lineage: Bacteria
Description: partial 16S ribosomal RNA
Rfam family: Bacterial small subunit ribosomal RNA
Source: RNAcentral